Molecule: ribosomal RNA, 252 nt
Filed under: uncultured bacterium
Lineage: Bacteria
Description: partial 16S ribosomal RNA
Rfam family: Bacterial small subunit ribosomal RNA
Source: RNAcentral
UACGGAGGAUGCGAGCGUUAUCCGGAUUUAUUGGGUUUAAAGGGUGCGCAGGCGGAUUUUUAAGUCAGCGGUCAAAUCGUGGGGCUCAACCCCAUCCAGCCGUUGAAACUGGGGAUCUAGAGUGUGCGAGAGGUAUGCGGAAUGCGUGGUGUAGCGGUGAAAUGCAUAGAUAUCACGCAGAACUCCGAUUGCGAAGGCAGCAUACCGGCGCCCUACUGACGCUGAGGCACGAAAGCGUGGGUAUCGAACAGG